Herpailurus yagouaroundi (jaguarundi) is the source of this 1348-nucleotide long non-coding RNA. RefSeq lists it as uncharacterized. NCBI's taxonomy places the organism in Eukaryota, Metazoa, Chordata, Mammalia, Carnivora, Felidae. The transcript has 5 exons. The record is from RefSeq and is a predicted model, not a curated record.
GGGUGGGUCUAUGACUUGCAAUUCUCUGGUCCUCAGCUCCACAGAGUAGUAGGUGGGUCCAAUAAGCACUCUCCACCCAGUACCUGGAUGGGGGUCCCCACCAGCAGAAGCUGCAUAUAAGCCCCUGCCUGCCCGCCUGUGUAAAAUGAGGGGCAGCUGGACCAGCCGGGUCUGGGCUCCCACUCCACCUCCUGCCAAAGGCCUGGCUCCCUGUGGCUUGGCCAGGCCAGGCCAGGGAGGGAGGGCAGAGCAGGUGGGGAACUGGCUGGAGGUGUAACUUGAGCCGGGAGGAAUUCCCUGCCCUUCCUCCAUGCUUUUAUUAAAGUAGGGCGGGGAAGGGCAGGCUUCCAUCGGAAAAAUCUCCCAGGCUGCCGGGGGGAGGUGGGGAAGCCGCCGGGAGGCUGGGAGGGAGCACCGGCCCGGCUGCAAAUAGAAGGCACGCAGCAGCUCUGGCUGCGAGGCUCCAGGCCGGCCCAAGGGCACCGAGGCCCCAGCCUACCGGAGCCAGCACCGAGGCUGGCUCUCUCCUCCUACCGUCUCAUUCCUGUCCUAUCUACCCUCUCUUAGUCCCGGACUGGGAGUGGGUCUUACAGGUCGGGACAGAACAGACCCCGCUUUUGCUGGGGCAACGGAGCUGGUGCCCUCACUGUCUAUGGUCAGGAGGACGGCGCUGGGCGACCCACAGAGCCCGCGUGGGGUAUUGCGGGGGGAUGCAGGUUGGACCUCGCUCUACGCCAGGAGGCCGCGCCUGGUCACCUGCCGGACGGAUCCGGAGACGGUUUUAUCAGGCGGGCUCCUGGUAAAAACACGUGCGGAGUCUGCCCUCUCCGACGUAGGGGCACUAGUGGGAGGAAGCCCCGGGGGAGACAGGGUCUCUCUUGGACCCACCUGGUCAUGGAGCGGUUUCCGCGUUAAGAGCCCAACAGGUGCCGAAGGUGGAGUCCGACCAGCGGCCCUUUUACUCUUCCAGGAAGGAAGGGAUCCUUGCCUGCCCGCCCCUGUCACUCCCACCCUUGCUUUUGGAGGGCAGUUCUCUUCAAAUCCUCAAGAUGUCUUUGGCCCUUGAGUGACUCUCCUCAAGUUACCAGAGCCUUGCUGACAAUAGAUAACUGCUGUCCUGUAUGACCCACAAGACAUUUAAUGAGAGGGAUACCUUGAAGACAAAUAGAUGAAGAUUAGAGACGGGACCAGUAUGUGUACCCAACUUCACAGACCUUCAGAGAUCUACCAGAAGCCCCAGUGCCUGUUGUCCUUGGCAGUGUCCACAGACCUAGAACUAGGAGGCCCAGGCUGCCCUCUACUGGUGGUUCCUGACAAUGACCACACGUACCAGCGCUGAACCUGCGAC